CAGAAGUAAAAUGCUGUCACGCCGAUGGUAGUGUGGUGAUUCGCCAUGUGAGAGUAGGUCGUCAUCAGGG
RNAcentral lists this ribosomal RNA (70 nucleotides) under Otariodibacter oris. Lineage: Bacteria; Pseudomonadati; Pseudomonadota; Gammaproteobacteria; Pasteurellales; Pasteurellaceae. The record is from RNAcentral.